UACGAAGGUGGCAAGCGUUACUCGGAAUUACUAGGCGUAAAGGGCACGUAGGUGGUCUGGUUAGUCUGUUGUGAAAGCUCCUUGCUUAACGGGGAGAGGUCAACAGAUACUGCCAGACUUGAGUAUGGGAGAGGGUACUGGAAUUCCCGGUGUAGCGGUGAAAUGCGCAGAGAUCGGGAGGAACACCAAUGGCGAAAGCAGGUACCUGGGCCAUUACUGACACUCAGCUGCGAAAGCUAGGGGAGCAAACAGG
RNAcentral lists this ribosomal RNA (253 nucleotides) under uncultured bacterium. RNAcentral's name for it is "partial 16S ribosomal RNA". It matches the Rfam family "Bacterial small subunit ribosomal RNA", at positions 524 to 776 of the family's 1533-position model. The record is from RNAcentral.